UAUAAUUCCUUAGCGGAGGAAAAGAACCAACAGGGAUUGCCUCAGUAACGGCGAGUGAAGCGGCAACAGCUCAAAUUUUAAAGCCGGCGUCUUCGACGCCCGCGUUGUAAUUUGGAGAGGCAUCUUCGGUUUGGGCGCCAGUCUAUGUUCCUUGGAACAGGACGUCACAGAGGGUGAGAAUCCCGUGCUUGGCUGGCUGUCCCUCUCCAUGUGAAGUGUCUUCGACGAGUCGAGUUGUUUGGGAAUGCAGCUCAAAAUGGGUGGUAAAUUUCAUCUAAAGCUAAAUAUUGGCGGGAGACCGAUAGCGCACAAGUAGAGUGAUCGAAAGAUGAAAAGCACUUUGAAAAUAGAGUUAAAAAGUACGUGAAAUUGUUGAAAGGGAAGCGCUUGAGACCAGACUCGGUCGGGGACGAUCAGCGGCCCUUCUGGGCCGUGCACUCGUCCUCGGUUCGGGCCAGCAUCGGUUGAGACGGCGGGAUAAAGGCCCGGGGAAUGUGGCUCCUCUCGGGGAGUGUUAUAGCCUCGGGCGCAAUGCCGCCAGCCUCGACCGAGGACCGCGCUCUUUUGCUAGGAUGCUGGCGUAAUGGUCUUCAGCGACCCGUCUUGAAACACGGACCAAGGAGUCUAACAUCUAUGCGAGUGUUUGGGUGUCAAACCCUUGCGCGUAAUGAAAGUGAACGGAGGUGGGAACCCCUCCUCUGGGGGGGCGCACCAUCGACCGAUCCUGAUGUCUUCGGAUGGAUUUGAGUAGGAGCAUAGCUGUUGGGACCCGAAAGAUGGUGAACUAUGCCUGAAUAGGGUGAAGCCAGAGGAAACUCUGGUGGAGGCUCGCAGCGGUUCUGACGUGCAAAUCGAUCGUCAAAUUUGGGUAUAGGGGCGAAAGACAAUCGACCUUUCU
Molecule: ribosomal RNA, 898 nt
Filed under: Discina ancilis
Lineage: Eukaryota; Fungi; Ascomycota; Pezizomycetes; Pezizales; Discinaceae
Description: LSU rRNA
Rfam family: Eukaryotic large subunit ribosomal RNA
Source: RNAcentral